AAAAGUAAUUGCGGAUUUUGCC
RNAcentral lists this microRNA (22 nucleotides) under Pan troglodytes (chimpanzee). RNAcentral's name for it is "ptr-miR-548i". Its record names the gene ptr-miR-548i. The record is from miRBase by way of RNAcentral. Lineage: Eukaryota; Metazoa; Chordata; Mammalia; Primates; Hominidae. RNAcentral also lists the same sequence under 1 other name.